Molecule: small nucleolar RNA, 100 nt
Filed under: Verruconis gallopava
Lineage: Eukaryota; Fungi; Ascomycota; Dothideomycetes; Venturiales; Sympoventuriaceae
Description: Ochroconis gallopava Small nucleolar RNA Z13/snr52
Rfam family: Small nucleolar RNA Z13/snr52
About the family: Z13 or snr52 is a member of the C/D class of snoRNA which contain the C (UGAUGA) and D (CUGA) box motifs. Most of the members of the box C/D family function in directing site-specific 2'-O-methylation of substrate RNAs.
Source: Rfam by way of RNAcentral
CUUGGUGGGUUGAUGAAGCAUUUUCGGAUGUAAAACUCUUUCAAAAUGUCCAAGAGCGCAAAAACCGUGUGGAUAUUUCCGUUGCCUUCCUUCUGACCAC